Molecule: ribosomal RNA, 168 nt
Filed under: Periophthalmus sp. CBM:ZF:12249
Lineage: Eukaryota; Metazoa; Chordata; Actinopteri; Gobiiformes; Gobiidae
Description: partial 12S rRNA
Source: RNAcentral
CACCGCGGUUAUACGAGGGGCCCAAGUUGACAAACACCGGCGUAAAAAGUGGUUAGUAUAUCAUUUAACUAAAGCCAAACACCUUCAAAGCUGUUAUAUGCUCUCGGAGAUAGGAAGCCCUCCCACGAAAGUGGCUUUAAAUAUUACAAAUCCACGAAAGCUAGGAGA